UUACGAACAUUAAUCGAACACCUGGAGAGCACUGCAAACGGGCCAAGUCGCAAAUUCCAUCCAAGAGAGCUAAGAUAAACAGGGACCCGUGACCACGCACCGGGUGAGGUGGGAGGGAAGAAGAAGCGGGAGAUGAUGAAAGGGAGGCCGCCGUCGAUCAGUUGUCCCCCUCGGGCUCGAACUCCGGGUCGCCGUCGGGGUGCAUCUCCCUCCACUGGUCCUCGGGCCAGUACUCCUUGACGUGGCCCCACUUCUUGCGGAACUUCUCGAUCUGGCUGUCCAUCACCACCAGCGCCGAGGUGUCGCCGACGUAGUAGGGGUGGUUCCCGGACCACACGUCCACCGUGUACUCCGGCUUGGUGCCCCCCGUCACCAGCACCAGCUCGCCGUUGCAGUACACCUUCGCGUCCUCGUAGAUCUCCGGGUGCAGCCCCUUCUUGCGCAUCGAGCAGCGCAUCCCCUGCAUCGCGCCGCCCGGAGUUUGGUUUUGCUCGCAGACUUAGUGGCGGCGCCCAUGGUAAUUUCAUUCGUGCAGGAAUUGCGAGAGGGAGGGUCGGCGCCUACGCGCGCGCGCGCACGUACCUGGGAGGGGACGACGGAGCGGAGAGUGCGGGCGGUGGUCCUCGCGGCGGCAGGGGUGGGGAGGAAGGAGGUGGAGAGGGAGAGCGUCAUGGCGGAUGGCCUUGCC
RNAcentral lists this long non-coding RNA (688 nucleotides) under Setaria italica (foxtail millet). RNAcentral describes it as "long non-coding RNA (SITA_LNC003850)". The record is from RNAcentral. Lineage: Eukaryota; Viridiplantae; Streptophyta; Magnoliopsida; Poales; Poaceae.